UCCUCUGUAGUUCAGUCGGUAGAACGGCAGACUGUUAAUCCGUACGUCACUGGUUCGAGUCCACUCAGAGGAGCCA
Molecule: transfer RNA, 76 nt
Filed under: Serratia symbiotica
Lineage: Bacteria; Pseudomonadati; Pseudomonadota; Gammaproteobacteria; Enterobacterales; Yersiniaceae
Also listed under: 1 other name
Description: tRNA-Asn
Rfam family: tRNA
About the family: Transfer RNA (tRNA) molecules are approximately 80 nucleotides in length.
Source: RNAcentral